Molecule: ribosomal RNA, 410 nt
Filed under: uncultured bacterium
Lineage: Bacteria
Description: bacterial SSU rRNA
Rfam family: Bacterial small subunit ribosomal RNA
Source: RNAcentral
UGGGGAAUAUUGCACAAUGGGCGAAAGCCUGAUGCAGCGACGCCGCGUGGGGGAUGACGGCCUUCGGGUUGUAAACCUCUUUCAACAUCGACGAAGGUCCGGGUUUUCUCGGAUUGACGGUAGGUGGAGAAGAAGCACCGGCCAACUACGUGCCAGCAGCCGCGGUAAUACGUAGGGUGCGAGCGUUGUCCGGAAUUACUGGGCGUAAAGAGCUCGUAGGUGGUUUGUCGCGUUGUUCGUGAAAUCUCACGGCGUAACUGUGAGCGUGCGGGCGAUACGGUCAGACUUGAGUACUGCAGGGGAGACUGGAAUUCCUGGUGUAGCGGUGGAAUGCGCAGAUAUCAGGAGGAACACCGGUGGCGAAGGCGUGUCUCUGGGCAGUAACUGACGCUGAGGAGCGAAAGCGUGGG